Molecule: long non-coding RNA, 1221 nt
Organism: Anopheles coluzzii
Lineage: Eukaryota; Metazoa; Arthropoda; Insecta; Diptera; Culicidae
Exons: 2
Source: RefSeq, a predicted model, not a curated record
CGCAAAUUUAUGUGGUUUUAAUUGUAUUUUAUUGUUGUAUUGUUUAUUGUAUUAAGUGAUUGGCCAAACAAGCGGCCUUAUCACUGAAUUAAAACUAAAACUUAAAUAACUAACGCAGUGUACAAUGACAAAACGGAUCAACAGAAUCUAGUAGGUAGGUGCCAGUCAAAGAAAAUGUAACGCUGAUUAAAUUUACGGGCCAUCGCAGUCAUUGGGUCGUUCUCGCUAUAUGCACGUCUUGUAAGGUCAGUUCUUAUUAGUCUGCCCGACAGACAAAGAGAGCGAAAUUUACAGGCGAGGGGCAUCCCAAGUAGCAGAGCCGAAGUUUUUCAGAGAUUUUUCUGUGUGCCAAAGCGAGAUGCCCUGUCUUCUCUCUCCAGAUUUUGGACAGCAAACCGCUGCGCGUGUAGAGGUGUGUGCGUGUGACGAAAAACGAUGGAUGAAAAACGCGAGGAGCGGGGUCCGAAGUCUUUCGUUGGUCACACACACAUGCAUCUACCGUUGGAUUGCGCUACACCGAGUCUACCCAUCUCUCUCGAUCUACCAUGAUUUUUUCUGCUAUCGCACUCAUCUGGGAGUUAGGCAUCCUCAGUCUGCCCAGAACUUUCGUUGUGGAAGGAUGUGCGGGAGUGAUGUGCGAUUUCUUGUGUCCCCAACUAUCCUUGUUUACGUUUUGCGCAGUGUUGCUUCUUCUUCCAUUGUGGAAUGAUUUAGCCUAGCAAAUUGUUGAGUUACAGGUGCAUGCGCCAUUCAUCAACGCCUACCUGUUGCCAUCAUCAACAAUCUUCAAAGUGGGUGACGGAAGGAAAUUGUUUUUCAGUUUUAAAAUAUUAAGGUAAGUGUUGCUCUCAUCAUAUACGUAAAACUAUCCAAAGUAAUACGUAUUACAUACAUUAAUUAUUGGUUUAUUUUUAUUGACACCGCUCAGCACAACUCAGCCACAAAACAACGCACUGGAUUACGCUAAGAACCUGUCGAAACGCGGGCGCGGUAGAAGAAAGGAAGAACGAGAGGAUGAAAAACUAAAGUCGGCGCGCAGCUCUGAUGGUACCCCGUACGCGGUAAGAAGAAAAAAGAUCGAGAGGAGGAAGAACGGUAAAUUUGGAAGGGGGUGAACGUUCUGCCGUCUACACAGUGUGAGUAUGCCAAAGCACGUGUUGGAAGGGAGAGAAAAAGUAUGGAAUAAACCGCAUGCGAAUGUGUGCAUACAGCAAAAGUAAA